This 998-nucleotide ribosomal RNA is filed under the name Photobacterium ganghwense. RNAcentral's name for it is "bacterial SSU rRNA". It matches the Rfam family "Bacterial small subunit ribosomal RNA", at positions 481 to 1468 of the family's 1533-position model. Lineage: Bacteria; Pseudomonadati; Pseudomonadota; Gammaproteobacteria; Vibrionales; Vibrionaceae. The record is from RNAcentral.
AGAAGAAAGGCACGGGUUAAAUUUCCGUCCCAGCAGGCCGGGGUAAUCACCGCAGGGUGCGAGCGCUUAAUCGGAAUUAUGGGUUAAAAGCGCAUGCAGGGCGGCUUGUUAAGCCAGAAUGUGAAAGCCCGGGGCUCAAACCUGGAAUCGCAUUUGGAAACUGGGCAGGUAGAGUUUUGUAGAGGGGGGGUAGAAAUUUCAGGUGUAGCGGUGAAAUGGUAGAGAUCGAAAGAAAUACCGGUGGGAAGGCGGCCCCCCUGGACAAAGACUGACGCUCAGAUGCGAAAAGCGUGGGGAGCAAACAGGAUUUAGAUACCCUGGUAGUCCACGCCGUAAAACGAUGUUACUUGGAGGUUGGUGUCUUGAACACUGGCUUUCGGAGCUAACGCGUUAAGUAGACCGCCUGGGGAGUACGGUCGCAAGAUUAAAACUCAAAUGAAUUGACGGGGGCCCGCACAAGCGGUGGAGCAUGUGGUUUAAUUCGAUGCAACGCGAAGAACCUUACCUACUCUUGACAUCCAGGGAAUCUAGCAGAGAUGCUGGGGUGCCUUCGGGAACUGUGAGACAGGUGCUGCAUGGCUGUCGUCAGCUCGUGUUGUGAAAUGUUGGGUUAAGUCCCGCAACGAGCGCAACCCUUAUCCUUGUUUGCCAGCACUUCGGGUGGGAACUCCAGGGAGACUGCCGGUGAUAAACCGGAGGAAGGUGGGGACGACGUCAAGUCAUCAUGGCCCUUACGAGUAGGGCUACACACGUGCUACAAUGGCAUAUACAGAGGGCAGCAAGACCGCGAGGUGGAGCGAAUCCCACAAAGUAUGUCGUAGUCCGGAUUGGAGUCUGCAACUCGACUCCAUGAAGUCGGAAUCGCUAGUAAUCGUGGAUCAGAAUGCCACGGUGAAUACGUUCCCGGGCCUUGUACACACCGCCCGUCACACCAUGGGAGUGGGCUGCACCAGAAGUAGAUAGCAUAACGUUCCAGAGGUAACCUUGCAGAGUGGGGG